Molecule: ribosomal RNA, 629 nt
Filed under: uncultured eukaryote
Lineage: Eukaryota
Description: SSU rRNA
Rfam family: Eukaryotic small subunit ribosomal RNA
Source: RNAcentral
UUGUUGCAGUUAAAAAGCUCGUAGUUGGACUUUAGGCAAGGCGGCCUGGUCACCCUCUGGGUGUACUGGGAUCGCUGCGCCUCACCUUCGGGGAGCUAGUCGUGCUUCGGUGCGCUAGGGAACCGAGCCUUACCUUGAGGAAAUUAGAGUGUUUAAAGCAGGCUUAUGCUUGAAUACGUUAGCAUGGAAUAACAUGAUAGGACUUUGGUUCUAUUUUGUUGGUUUGAGGACCAAAGUAAUGGUUAAUAGGGACAGUUGGGGGCAUUAGUAUUCAAUAGUCAGAGGUGAAAUUCUUGGAUUUAUUGAAGACUAACUAAUGCGAAAGCAUUUGCCAAGGAUGUUUUCAUUAAUCAAGAACGAAAGUUAGGGGAUCGAAGACGAUUAGAUACCGUCGUAGUCUUAACCAUAAACUAUGCCGACUAGGGAUCGGUGGAAGUCGAUUUUGACUCCAUCGGCACCUUACGAGAAAUCAAAGUUUUUGGGUUCUGGGGGGAGUAUGGUCGCAAGGCUGAAACUUAAAGGAAUUGACGGAAGGGCACCACCAGGAGUGGAGCCUGCGGCUUAAUUUGACUCAACACGGGAAAACUCACCAGGUCCGGACAUGGGAAGGAUUGACAGAUUGAGAGCUC